This 465-nucleotide ribosomal RNA is filed under the name Vreelandella stevensii. Its description in RNAcentral is "partial 16S ribosomal RNA". It matches the Rfam family "Bacterial small subunit ribosomal RNA", at positions 338 to 795 of the family's 1533-position model. The record is from RNAcentral. Lineage: Bacteria; Pseudomonadati; Pseudomonadota; Gammaproteobacteria; Oceanospirillales; Halomonadaceae.
CCUACGGGUGGCUGCAGUGGGGAAUAUUGGACAAUGGGCGAAAGCCUGAUCCAGCCAUGCCGCGUGUGUGAAGAAGGCCUUCGGGUUGUAAAGCACUUUCAGUGGGGAAGAAAGCCUUGGGGCUAAUACCCUCGAGGAAGGACAUCACCCACAGAAGAAGCACCGGCUAACUCCGUGCCAGCAGCCGCGGUAAUACGGAGGGUGCGAGCGUUAAUCGGAAUUACUGGGCGUAAAGCGCGCGUAGGCGGUCUGAUAAGCCGGUUGUGAAAGCCCCGGGCUCAACCUGGGAACGGCAUCCGGAACUGUCAGGCUAGAGUGCAGGAGAGGAAGGUAGAAUUCCCGGUGUAGCGGUGAAAUGCGUAGAGAUCGGGAGGAAUACCAGUGGCGAAGGCGGCCUUCUGGACUGACACUGACGCUGAGGUGCGAGAGCGUGGGUAGCAAACAGGAUUAGAUACCCUUGUAGUC